GCGAACAGACGAGGAGCUUGCUCCUCUGACGUUAGCGGCGGACGGGUGAGUAACACGUGGAUAACCUACCUAUAAGACUGGGAUAACUUCGGGAAACCGGAGCUAAUACCGGAUAAUAUAUUGAACCGCAUGGUUCAAUAGUGAAAGACGGUUUUGCUGUCACUUAUAGAUGGAUCCGCGCCGCAUUAGCUAGUUGGUAAGGUAACGGCUUACCAAGGCAACGAUGCGUAGCCGACCUGAGAGGGUGAUCGGCCACACUGGAACUGAGACACGGUCCAGACUCCUACGGGAGGCAGCAGUAGGGAAUCUUCCGCAAUGGGCGAAAGCCUGACGGAGCAACGCCGCGUGAGUGAUGAAGGUCUUCGGAUCGUAAAACUCUGUUAUUAGGGAAGAACAAAUGUGUAAGUAACUAUGCACGUCUUGACGGUACCUAAUCAGAAAGCCACGGCUAACUACGUGCCAGCAGCCGCGGUAAUACGUAGGUGGCAAGCGUUAUCCGGAAUUAUUGGGCGUAAAGCGCGCGUAGGCGGUUUUUUAAGUCUGAUGUGAAAGCCCACGGCUCAACCGUGGAGGGUCAUUGGAAACUGGAAAACUUGAGUGCAGAAGAGGAAAGUGGAAUUCCAUGUGUAGCGGUGAAAUGCGCAGAGAUAUGGAGGAACACCAGUGGCGAAGGCGACUUUCUGG
RNAcentral lists this ribosomal RNA (684 nucleotides) under uncultured Staphylococcus sp. RNAcentral describes it as "bacterial SSU rRNA". It matches the Rfam family "Bacterial small subunit ribosomal RNA", at positions 66 to 732 of the family's 1533-position model. Lineage: Bacteria; Bacillati; Bacillota; Bacilli; Caryophanales; Staphylococcaceae. The record is from RNAcentral.